RNAcentral lists this ribosomal RNA (834 nucleotides) under Haptophyta environmental samples. RNAcentral's name for it is "bacterial SSU rRNA". It matches the Rfam family "Bacterial small subunit ribosomal RNA", at positions 481 to 1325 of the family's 1533-position model. Lineage: Eukaryota; Haptophyta. The record is from RNAcentral.
GAGGAAUAAGCAUCGGCUAACUCCGUGCCAGCAGCCGCGGUAAUACGGGGGAUGCAAGCGUUAUCCGGAAUCAUUGGGCGUAAAGCGCCUGUAGGUUGUUUACUAAGUCUGUUGUUAAAGACUAGGGCUUAACCCUAGAAAAGCAAUGGAAACUUGUAGACUAGAGUAUGGCAGGGGUAGAGGGAAUUUCUAGUGUAGCGGUGAAAUGCGUAGAUAUUAGAAAGAACACCAGUGGCGAAAGCGCUCUACUGGACCAUUACUGACACUCAGAGGCGAAAGCUAGGGUAGCAAAAGGGAUUAGAUACCCCUGUAGUCCUAGCCGUAAACGAUGGAUACUAGAUGUUGUGCUUUGUACAGUAUCGUAGCUAACGCGUUAAGUAUCCCGCCUGGGGAGUACGCUCGCAAGGGUGAAACUCAAAGGAAUUGACGGGGGCCCGCACAAGCGGUGGAGCAUGUGGUUUAAUUCGAUGCAACGCGAAGAACCUUACCAGGGCUUGACAUACUACAGAUUCUUUUGAAAAAAGGAAGUGCCUUCGGGAAUGUAGAUACAGGUGGUGCAUGGCUGUCGUCAGCUCGUGUCGUGAGAUGUUGGGUUAAGUCCCGCAACGAGCGCAACCCUUAUUUUUAGUUACCAAUUCGUUGGGUUCUCUAGAAAGACUGCCGGUGACAAACCGGAGGAAGGUGAGGAUGACGUCAAGUCAGCAUGCCCCUUAUGUCCUGGGCUACACACGUGCUACAAUGGUUAAGACAAAGAGUCGCAAGCUUGCAAGAGUUAGCUAAUCUCAUAAACUUAGCCUAAGUUCAGAUUGUAGGCUGCAACUCGCCUACAUGAAG